Molecule: ribosomal RNA, 274 nt
Filed under: uncultured bacterium
Lineage: Bacteria
Description: partial 16S ribosomal RNA
Rfam family: Bacterial small subunit ribosomal RNA
Source: RNAcentral
AUACGGGGGGUGCAAGCGUUAUCCGGAAUCAUUGGGUUUAAAGGGUCCGUAGGCGGACUAUUAAGUCAGAGGUGAAAUCCCACAGCUCAACUGUGGAACUGCCUUUGAUACUGGUAGUCUUGAGUUAUAUGGAAGUAGAUAGAAUGUGUAGUGUAGCGGUGAAAUGCAUAGAUAUUACACAGAAUACCGAUUGCGAAGGCAGUCUACUACGUAUAUACUGACGCUAAGGGACGAAAGCGUGGGGAGCGAACAGGAUUAGAAACCCCGGUAGUCC